Molecule: ribosomal RNA, 493 nt
Filed under: uncultured bacterium
Lineage: Bacteria
Description: partial 16S ribosomal RNA
Rfam family: Bacterial small subunit ribosomal RNA
Source: RNAcentral
ACGAACGCUGGCGGCGUGCUUAACACCUGCAAGUCGAACGGUGAAGCGCCUUCCUUUUUGGUGGGUGUGGAUGAGUGGCGAACGGGUGAGUAACACGUGAGUAACCUGCCCCCUUCUUCUGGAUAACCGCAUGAAAGUGUGGCUAAUACGGGAUAUUCUGGGUCUGUCGCAUGAUGGGUCUGGGAAAGAUAUUGUUUCGGUGGGGGAUGGGCUCGCGGCCUAUCAGCUUGUUGGUGGGGUGAUGGCCUACCAAGGCGGUGACGGGUAGCCGGCCUGAGAGGGUGGACGGUCACACUGGGACUGAGACACGGCCCAGACUCCUACGGGAGGCAGCAGGGGGGAAUAUUGCACAAUGGGCGCAAGCCUGAUGCAGCGACGCCGCGUGAGGGAUGGAGGCCUUCGGGUUGUGAACCUCUUUCGCCAGUGAAGCAGGCCUGCCUCGUUUGUGGGUGGGUUGACGGUAGCUGGAUAAGAAGCGCCGGCUAACUACGUG